RNAcentral lists this ribosomal RNA (479 nucleotides) under uncultured bacterium. RNAcentral's name for it is "bacterial SSU rRNA". It matches the Rfam family "Bacterial small subunit ribosomal RNA", at positions 107 to 598 of the family's 1533-position model. The record is from RNAcentral.
UGAGUAACGCGUGGGUAACCUACCCCAAAGUCCGGGAUAACAGCGGGAAACCGCUGCUAAUACCGGAUGCCUUUACCUUGGGGCAUCUUGAGGUAAAGAAAGGUAACGCUUUGGGAUGGGCCCGCGUCCCAUUAGCUAGUUGGUGAGGUAACGGCUCACCAAGGCGACGAUGGGUAGCCGGCCCGAGAGGGUGGACGGCCACACUGGGACUGAGACACGGCCCAGACUCCUACGGGAGGCAGCAGUAGGGAAUAUUGCGCAAUGGACGGAAGUCUGACGCAGCGACGCCGCGUGAGCGAUGAAGGUCUUCGGAUCGUAAAGCUCUGUCCUUGGGGAAGAAGGCGAAAGCUUGACGGUACCCAAGAAGGAAGCCCCGGCUAACUACGUGCCAGCAGCCGCGGUAAUACGUAGGGGGCGAGCGUUGUCCGGAAUUACUGGGCGUAAAGGGUGCGUAGGCGGCCCUUUAAGUCGGAUGUGAA